RNAcentral lists this ribosomal RNA (443 nucleotides) under uncultured bacterium. RNAcentral's name for it is "partial 16S ribosomal RNA". It matches the Rfam family "Bacterial small subunit ribosomal RNA", at positions 338 to 795 of the family's 1533-position model. The record is from RNAcentral.
CCUACGGGAGGCAGCAGUGGGGAAUAUUGCGCAAUGGGCGAAAGCCUGACCCAGCAACGCCGCGUGAGGGAAGAAGGCUCUCGGGUUGUAAACUUCUUUUCUCAGGGACGCAGAAAGUGACGGUACCUGACGAAUAAGCCACGGCUAACUACGUGCCAGCAGCCGCGGUAAUACGUAGGUGGCAGGCGUUAUCCGGAUUUAAUGGGUGUAAAGGGCGUGUAGGCGGAAAAGGAAGUCAGUUGUGAAAACGAGGGGCUCAACCUGUUGCCUGCAGUUGACACUGUAUUUCUUGAGUACUGGAGAGGCAGACGGAAUUCCUGGUGUAGCGGUGAAAUGCGUAGAUAUUAGGAGGAACACCAGUGGCGAAGGCAGUCUGCUGGACUGCAACUGACGCUGAGGCGCGAAAGCGUGGGGAGCAAACAGGAUUAGAUACCCCAGUAGUC